GAUGAACGCUAGCGGCAGGCCUAAUACAUGCAAGUCGAACGGGAUCCAGAUCAAAGCUUGCUUUGGUUUGGUGAGAGUGGCGCACGGGUGCGUAACGCGUGAGCAACCUACCCUUGUCAGGGGGAUAGCCCGGCGAAAGUCGGAUUAAUACCGCAUGACAUCAUUGAGAGGCAUCUUUCGAUGAUCAAAGAUUUAUCGGACAAGGAUGGGCUCGCGUGACAUUAGCUAGUUGGUAAGGUAACGGCUUACCAAGGCUACGAUGUCUAGGGGCUCUGAGAGGAGAAUCCCCCACACUGGUACUGAGACACGGACCAGACUCCUACGGGAGGCAGCAGUAAGGAAUAGUGGUCAAUGGACGGAAGUCUGAACCAGCCAUGCCGCGUGCAGGAAGACGGCCCUAUGGGUUGUAAACUGCUUUUAUACGGGAACAAACGUCGGUACGUGUACCGGUCUGAGUGUACCGUAAGAAUAAGGAUCGGCUAACUCCGUG
Molecule: ribosomal RNA, 490 nt
Filed under: uncultured bacterium
Lineage: Bacteria
Description: partial 16S ribosomal RNA
Rfam family: Bacterial small subunit ribosomal RNA
Source: RNAcentral